UACGUAGGGUCAAAGCGUUAAUCGGAAUUACUGGGCGUAAAGCGUGCGCAGGCGGUUGUGCAAGACCGAUGUGAAAUCCCCGGGCUUAACCUGGGAAUUGCAUUGGUGACUGCACGGCUAGAGUGUGUCAGAGGGGGGUAGAAUUCCACGUGUAGCAGUGAAAUGCGUAGAGAUGUGGAGGAAUACCGAUGGCGAAGGCAGCCCCCUGGGAUAACACUGACGCUCAUGCACGAAAGCGUGGGGAGCAAACAGGAUUAGA
This 259-nucleotide ribosomal RNA is filed under the name uncultured prokaryote. Its description in RNAcentral is "partial 16S ribosomal RNA". It matches the Rfam family "Bacterial small subunit ribosomal RNA", at positions 524 to 782 of the family's 1533-position model. The record is from RNAcentral.